Molecule: ribosomal RNA, 490 nt
Filed under: uncultured bacterium
Lineage: Bacteria
Description: partial 16S ribosomal RNA
Rfam family: Bacterial small subunit ribosomal RNA
Source: RNAcentral
AGUGAACGCUGGCGGCAGGCCUAACACAUGCAAGUCGAACGGCAGCACAAGAGAGCUUGCUCUCUGGGUGGCGAGUGGCGGACGGGUGAGGCAUGCAUCGGAAUCUGCCCAUUUGUGGGGGAUAACCUCGGGAAACCGGGACUAAUACCGCAUACGACCUACGGGUGAAAGCAGGGGAUCUUCGGACCCUGCGCAGAUGGAUGAGCCGAUGCCGGAUUAGCUAGUUGGAGGGGUAAAGGCCCACCAAGGCGACGAUCCGUAGCUGGUCUGAGAGGAUGAUCAGCCACACUGGGACGGAGACACGGCCCAGACUCCUACGGGAGGCAGCAGUGGGGAAUAUUGGACAAUGGGCGCAAGCCUGAUCCAGCCAUGCCGCGUGUGUGAAGAAGGCCUUCGGGUUGUAAAGCACUUUUGUUGGGAAAGAAAAGCAGCCGGUUAAUACCCGGUUGUCAUGACGGUACCCAAAGAAUAAGCACCGGCUAACUUCGUG